AUGCACGCCAUCUCCGAGCUAACCGGCGGCACAUACUCCUUCAUCGAGAACCAGGCCGUGGUGCAAGACGCGUUCGCCCAGUGCAUCGGUGGGCUCCUUUCGGUCGCCGCCCAGCAGGCAUGGAUAGCCAUUACGUGCGUCCACCCCGAGGUGCGCGUCCGAGCCGUCAAGUCCGGUCGCUACAAAAGCCGCGUCCUCGCGGACGGCCGUGCAGCCUCGGUGGACGUUGGCGAGCUCUAUGCCGAUGAGGAGAGACGCUUCCUGCUGCUCGUGGAUGUGCCGAGGAUCGUCGGCGCUGCUCCAGAUGGA
This 309-nucleotide ribosomal RNA is filed under the name Triticum aestivum (bread wheat). Its description in RNAcentral is "partial small subunit ribosomal RNA". The record is from RNAcentral. Lineage: Eukaryota; Viridiplantae; Streptophyta; Magnoliopsida; Poales; Poaceae.